This 504-nucleotide ribosomal RNA is filed under the name uncultured bacterium. Its description in RNAcentral is "partial 16S ribosomal RNA". It matches the Rfam family "Bacterial small subunit ribosomal RNA", at positions 28 to 523 of the family's 1533-position model. The record is from RNAcentral.
GAUAAACGCUAGCGGCAGGCUUAACACAUGCAGGUCGAGGGGCAGCAUAGAUUGUAGCAAUACAAUUGGUGGCGACCGGCGCACGGGUGCGUAACGCGUAUGCAACCUACCCGUCACAGGGGGAUAAUCCGGAGAAAUCUGGUCUAAUACCCCAUAACAUAUGGAUCGGCAUCGGUUCAUGUUGAAAUUUUCGGAGGUGAAGGACGGGCAUGCGUAGCAUUAGCUUGUUGGUGAGGUAACGGCUCACCAAGGCGACGAUGCUUAGGGGGACUGAGAGGUUUUCCCCCCACACUGGUACUGAGACACGGACCAGACUCCUACGGGAGGCAGCAGUGAGGAAUAUUGGUCAAUGGGCGCAAGCCUGAACCAGCCAUGCCGCGUGCAGGAUGACGGCUCUAUGAGUUGUAAACUGCUUUUGUACGAGGGUAAAGUGGGUUACGUGUAACCUUUUGAAAGUAUCGUACGAAUAAGGAUCGGCUAACUCCGUGCCAGCCGCCGCGGUAA